ACUCAAAGGAAUAGACGGGGGCCCGCACAAGCGGUGGAGCAUGUGGCUUAAUUCGAGGCAACGCGAAGAACCUUACCUAGAUUUGACAUAUACCGGACCGGUGUAGAAAUACACUUUCCCGCAAGGGUCGGUAUACAGGUGCUGCAUGGCUGUCGUCAGCUCGUGCCGUGAGGUGUUCGGUUAAGUCCGGCAACGAGCGCAACCCGUGUCAUUAGUUACCAUCAGGCAAUGCUGGGGACUCUAAUGAGACUGCCUGUGUUAAGCAGGAGGAAGGCGCGGAUGACGUCAAGUCCGUAUGGCCUUUAUAUUUAGGGCUGCACACGUGCUACAAUGGCUGGUACAGAGGGAAGCAAGAUCGCGAGAUGGAGCUGAUCCGUAAAGCCAGCCUUAGUUCAGAUUGCAGUCUGCAACUCGACUGCAUGAAGCCGGAAUCGCUAGUAAAGGCGUAUCAGCUACGACGCCUUGAAUACGUUCCCGGGCCUUGCACACACCGCCCGU
This 498-nucleotide ribosomal RNA is filed under the name uncultured bacterium. Its description in RNAcentral is "bacterial SSU rRNA". It matches the Rfam family "Bacterial small subunit ribosomal RNA", at positions 899 to 1397 of the family's 1533-position model. The record is from RNAcentral.